This 76-nucleotide transfer RNA is filed under the name Aeriscardovia sp. RNAcentral's name for it is "tRNA-Ala". It matches the Rfam family "tRNA". From Rfam's summary of the family: Transfer RNA (tRNA) molecules are approximately 80 nucleotides in length. Their secondary structure includes four short double-helical elements and three loops (D, anti-codon, and T loops). Further hydrogen bonds mediate the characteristic L-shaped molecular structure. tRNAs have two regions of fundamental functional importance: the anti-codon, which is responsible for specific mRNA codon recognition, and the 3' end, to which the tRNAs corresponding amino acid is attached (by aminoacyl-tRNA synthetases). tRNAs cope with the degeneracy of the genetic code in two manners: having more than one tRNA (with a specific anti-codon) for a particular amino acid; and 'wobble' base-pairing, i.e. permitting non-standard base-pairing at the 3rd anti-codon position. Lineage: Bacteria; Bacillati; Actinomycetota; Actinomycetes; Bifidobacteriales; Bifidobacteriaceae. The record is from RNAcentral.
GGGGCUAUAGCGCAGUUGGUAGCGCAUCUGCUUUGCAAGCAGAGGGUCGCCGGUUCGAAUCCGGCUAGCUCCACCA